GGCCCUCGGUCAUGAGAGAGUGCUGGAACAGCUCAGCUCAGAGCGAUAUGGUAUUGUCCGCUUUGGGAACCGUGGGCGCUUUGGCUCGCACGGUGGCGGACCCACCUGCAGGCGCGUGGCUGCUGGACAGGUGUCCCUCACGGUUUUGUCCCCCCGUAGGGGGGCCCUCCUACCUCCAGCCCGUGGGCCUUCGGUGAGAAGAGGUGUUUACACCCCCCCAUUUAAGGCACAGACCUUUCCGCUGAUUAUCCGAUGUGGGACUAAACUGGGAACCCCAUCCCACAACACAGCCCCCCAGCGGGAAGGUCUGUGCGUGGCCGGGGCCCUUCCUCUAGCGCCAUCUGAUGUGGG
This 351-nucleotide long non-coding RNA is filed under the name Phoenix dactylifera (date palm). Its description in RNAcentral is "long non-coding RNA (PDAC_LNC023049)". The record is from RNAcentral. Lineage: Eukaryota; Viridiplantae; Streptophyta; Magnoliopsida; Arecales; Arecaceae.